GACGAACGCUGGCGGCGUGCUUAACACAUGCAAGUCGAGCGGUAAGGCCCUUUCGGGGGUACACGAGCGGCGAACGGGUGAGUAACACGUGGGUGACCUGCCCUCAGCUCUGGGAUAAGCCUGGGAAACCGGGUCUAAUACUGGAUAUGACUCCAUGACGCAUGUUGUGGGGUGGAAAGCCUUGUGCGGCUGAGGAUGGGCCCGCGGCCUAUCAGCUUGUUGGUGGGGNGAUGGCCUACCAAGGCGACGACGGGUAGCCGGCCUGAGAGGGCGACCGGCCACACUGGGACUGAGACACGGCCCAGACUCCUACGGGAGGCAGCAGUGGGGAAUCUUGCGCAAUGGGCGAAAGCCUGACGCAGCGACGCCGCGUGAGGGA
This 379-nucleotide ribosomal RNA is filed under the name uncultured bacterium. Its description in RNAcentral is "bacterial SSU rRNA". It matches the Rfam family "Bacterial small subunit ribosomal RNA", at positions 28 to 408 of the family's 1533-position model. The record is from RNAcentral.